GACGAACGCUGGCGGCGUGCUUAACACAUGCAAGUCGAACGGAAAGGCCCUGCUUUUGUGGGGUGCUCGAGUGGCGAACGGGUGAGUAACACGUGAGUAACCUGCCCUUGACUUUGGGAUAACUUCAGGAAACUGGGGCUAAUACCGGAUAGGAGCUCCUGCUGCAUGGUGGGGGUUGGAAAGUUUCGGCGGUUGGGGAUGGACUCGCGGCUUAUCAGCUUGUUGGUGGGGUAGUGGCUUACCAAGGCUUUGACGGGUAGCCGGCCCGAGAGGGUGACCGGCCCCAUUGGGACUGAGAUACGGCCCAGACUCCUACGGGAGGCAGCAGUGGGGAAUAUUGCACAAUGGGCGGAAGCCUGAUGCAGCAACGCCGCGUGCGGGAUGACGGCCUUCGGGUUGUAAACCGCUUUCGCCUGUGACGAAGCGUGAGUGACGGUAAUGGGUAAAGAAGCACCGGCUAACUACGUG
Molecule: ribosomal RNA, 468 nt
Filed under: uncultured bacterium
Lineage: Bacteria
Description: partial 16S ribosomal RNA
Rfam family: Bacterial small subunit ribosomal RNA
Source: RNAcentral